Molecule: long non-coding RNA, 298 nt
Filed under: Nicotiana benthamiana
Lineage: Eukaryota; Viridiplantae; Streptophyta; Magnoliopsida; Solanales; Solanaceae
Description: long non-coding RNA (NBEN_LNC021145)
Source: RNAcentral
AAUCACGAGAAUGUGUAUUUGUUCUCGAAUCUGUCAUUGAGAGGAAAAGGAUUUAAUCCUUUUAAGAAAUAAAGUUUUUGAUCGGAAUACGAAUCAAACCGAAGGACCCUUUAACUAUUUAAGGGAUAAUAGAACGAAUCACACUUUUACCACUAAACUAUACCCGCUACAAUCCGAUUAUUGUAUACAAAUGCAACUUUUGUCGAACAGGAAAAUUGUGGUAAUCAAGAUAGGAUAAGAUAGGGUCGUCACAGAAUCAAAUUAGAGUGUUGAUCUUUUUUCCUGGGGGGAUUCCAAU